ACGCCCACUCGCUGUCCUAAGGGACCUUAAUGAGCUCCCACUCCUUGCAGCGAAGCUCUCCUGGUUUCCCUGCUUCCUUUCUGAAUCCUCCCAGCCCCUGGCAACCACAUUCUCCUUUCUGUCUAUGCGAAUUGGACUACUCCGGGGGCCACCGAUGACUGGAGUCAUGCUGUGUUGUCUCUUUGUGACUGGAAUCCUGUCUCUUUAACAUCCUUGGAUCUGUCCCUCCUCUCCCUUCUCACGGCACUGCCUCUUAUGAUCUCAGAAGCUCUAAAGAAGCAGCGCUGCCCCUGCCUAGCGGAGGAGACUGGGACUCCCCACAUCUCUCUGUGUUCCCAGAUUGAGCCGGGCAAGAUCACAUCUGACAUCUGCACAUCUCAGCGCCCAGCCCCUGCCUGGCUCAGAGUGAAGUGUCUUCCAAUCCAUUGAAAUUUCUAGUCCCGGGGUCUCGAGGACACUAGGGCCACUGUGCAAUGGCAGAAGGAGCAUUGCCAUAGAAGUCAGGGGGCCUGGUUACAAGUCCUGACUUUAGUUGAGGACCUGCCAUAUGACCUUGAGCAAACUGCUGUACUUCUCUGGAUCUCAGUUUCUACAACCUAAUUCACUGGGCCCAGCCUGCAGCCUGCAAGCACCGGAUGAGUGGACGUGGCUGAGCAGCCAUGAGAAAGAUGUGGGGCUCUC
Molecule: long non-coding RNA, 681 nt
Filed under: Homo sapiens (human)
Lineage: Eukaryota; Metazoa; Chordata; Mammalia; Primates; Hominidae
Description: TMOD1 antisense RNA 1
Source: RNAcentral